GAUGAACGCUGGCGGCGUGCCUAAUACAUGCAAGUCGAGCGAACGGACGAGAAGCUUGCUUCUCUGAUGUUAGCGGCGGACGGGUGAGUAACACGUGGAUAACCUACCUAUAAGACUGGGAUAACUUCGGGAAACCGGAGCUAAUACCGGAUAAUAUUUUGAACCGCAUGGUUCAAAAGUGAAAGACGGUCUUGCUGUCACUUAUAGAUGGAUCCGCGCUGCAUUAGCUAGUUGGUAAGGUAACGGCUUACCAAGGCAACGAUGCAUAGCCGACCUGAGAGGGUGAUCGGCCACACUGGAACUGAGACACGGUCCAGACUCCUACGGGAGGCAGCAGUAGGGAAUCUUCCGCAAUGGGCGAAAGCCUGACGGAGCAACGCCGCGUGAGUGAUGAAGGUCUUCGGAUCGUAAAACUCUGUUAUUAGGGAAGAACAUAUGUGAAAGUAACUGUGCACAUCUUGACGGUACCUAAUCAGAAAGCCACGACUAACUACGUG
RNAcentral lists this ribosomal RNA (497 nucleotides) under uncultured bacterium. RNAcentral's name for it is "partial 16S ribosomal RNA". It matches the Rfam family "Bacterial small subunit ribosomal RNA", at positions 28 to 507 of the family's 1533-position model. The record is from RNAcentral.